GGCUGUAUUCCUCCAUCAUCUUGUCCCCUUGCUCCUGGAAGGUGAUGAUGAUCAAGGCCACAAAGAUAUUGACAAAGAAGAAGGGGAACACCACAAAGUAGACGACGUAGAAAAUGGACAUCUCCAUGCGGUGAGACUUACGUGAAGGCAAAGGCUACCAGGGCCCCACUGACCACUAUGAAGUCGAGAAUAUUCCAGAGGUCACGGAAGUAGGCACCCUGAUGCAGGACGAGCCCCAGGUCAAUCAUCUGU
Molecule: long non-coding RNA, 252 nt
Filed under: Homo sapiens (human)
Lineage: Eukaryota; Metazoa; Chordata; Mammalia; Primates; Hominidae
Description: HSALNT0256083
Source: RNAcentral